CAGUCGCCGCGGGAAUACGUAGGGUGCAAGCGUUAAUCGGAAUUACUGGGCGUAAAGCGUGCGCAGGCGGUUCGUUAAGACAGAUGUGAAGUCCCCGGGCUUAACCUGGGAACUGCAUUUGUGACUGGCGGGCUAGAGUAUGGCAGAGGGGGGUAGAAUUCCACGUGCAGCAGUGAAAUGCGUAGAGAUGUGGAGGAAUACCGAUGGCGAAGGCAGCCCCCUGGGAUAAUACUGACGUUCAUGCUCGAAAGCGUGGGUAGCAAACAGGAUUAGAUACCCCGGUAGUCCCUGUCUCUUAUAC
Molecule: ribosomal RNA, 301 nt
Filed under: uncultured bacterium
Lineage: Bacteria
Description: partial 16S ribosomal RNA
Rfam family: Bacterial small subunit ribosomal RNA
Source: RNAcentral